This 211-nucleotide ribosomal RNA is filed under the name uncultured bacterium. Its description in RNAcentral is "partial 16S ribosomal RNA". It matches the Rfam family "Bacterial small subunit ribosomal RNA", at positions 524 to 729 of the family's 1533-position model. The record is from RNAcentral.
UACGUAGGGCGCAAGCGUUGUCCGGAAUUAUUGGGCGUAAAGAGCUCGUAGGCGGUUUGUCGCGUCUGCUGUGAAAACCUAAGGCUCAACCUUGGGCUUGCAGUGGGGUACGGGCAGACUAGAGUGCGGUAGGGGUGACUGGAAUUCCUGGUGUAGCGGUGGAAUGCGCCAGGAUAUCAGGAGGAACACCGAGUGGCGAAAGGCAGGUCAC